This 492-nucleotide ribosomal RNA is filed under the name uncultured bacterium. RNAcentral describes it as "partial 16S ribosomal RNA". It matches the Rfam family "Bacterial small subunit ribosomal RNA", at positions 29 to 507 of the family's 1533-position model. The record is from RNAcentral.
AGUGAACGCUGGCGGUAGGCCUGACACAUGCCAGUCGAACGGCAGCACAGUAAGAGCUUGCUCUUACGGGUGGCGAGUGGCGGACGGGUGGGGAAUACAUCGGAAUCUACUUUUUCGUGGGGGAUAACGUAGGGAAACUUACGCUAAUACCGCAUACGACCUACGGGUGAAAGCAGGGGAUCUUCGGACCUUGCGCGAUUGAAUGAGCCGAUGUCGGAUUAGCUAGUUGGCGGGGUAAAGGCCCACCAAGGCGACGAUCCGUAGCUGGUCUGAGAGGAUGAUCAGCCACACUGGAACUGAGACACGGUCCAGACUCCUACGGGAGGCAGCAGUGGGGAAUAUUGGACAAUGGGCGCAAGCCUGAUCCAGCCAUACCGCGUGGGAGAAGAAGGCCUUCGGGUUGUAAAGCCCUUUUGUUGGGAAAGAAAAGCAGCAGGUUAAUACCCCGCUGUUCUGACGGUACCCAAAGAAUAAGCACCGGCUAACUUCGUG